AAGACAUUAGUAAAAUGUAUAUUACACCACCUUGUCGAGGUGAAAUUGUAGGUUAGACCCCCACAUGUCUUA
Molecule: non-coding RNA, 72 nt
Organism: Sinocyclocheilus anshuiensis
Lineage: Eukaryota; Metazoa; Chordata; Actinopteri; Cypriniformes; Cyprinidae
Source: Ensembl